GAGAAAUUCUACAGCCCAUGAUGUUC
This 26-nucleotide non-coding RNA is filed under the name Rattus norvegicus (Norway rat). Lineage: Eukaryota; Metazoa; Chordata; Mammalia; Rodentia; Muridae. The record is from RNAcentral.